GAGGAGUGAUGAUGCUGAGAAAAGGUUUCGCUUAACAAGCUGAUGAUGUCACAUGAUGUCACAACUUCUCUUGGCUGUCUGACCAA
Small nucleolar RNA from Acanthochromis polyacanthus (spiny chromis), 86 nucleotides. Lineage: Eukaryota; Metazoa; Chordata; Actinopteri; Pomacentridae. The record is from Ensembl.